Molecule: long non-coding RNA, 664 nt
Organism: Anguilla rostrata (American eel)
Lineage: Eukaryota; Metazoa; Chordata; Actinopteri; Anguilliformes; Anguillidae
Exons: 2
Source: RefSeq, a predicted model, not a curated record
UUUCUCUGGGGAUGUUAAAAACAAAGCAAAUAGUAAAAGACUCAUGACUCAUCGCUGUUCCUGGCUUGGCCUGAAUAAGGUGGGGAAAUCAGUGACCUGAUCACAUCUACAAAGCACACAGUGUCUCAAAGGCCACCGUGUAGGGAAAGCACCACAUGCUUACCCACCUGAGAUGGGACCAUAGUCAUGAUUAAGAAAACCAAACACAUUGACUGUCUUCAAGAGCUUAUACUUCUUCAGCUGUAUUCCUCAGAUGUGUAAGAUAAGCAGCCCAGUGAUGGAUCUGAUUCAAAGCUUUUCUCAUGUGGCAAAUCAAAGUUUUAACAUUCUUAAACAACACUCAACAACAUCAAGCCAAGCAUCAAGAAGCUUAGCUUAUAACCACCUAAGCAAAAGUAUAUAGUCUUCCAACACCGCUUUUCCCAUCUUGCAAUGAAGUUCAGAACUGUAUUACAUUUUGUACCAGCAUCAGAGUGGACAAACAAAGAAAAUGUUAUCUAUAACUCCUCCUGUAUUCAAACAAUCUGUAGACCACAUUUUAAAACUCAUUCCAGCAUGGAUGACAGUAACCAAAACAUUGCUGUUAUGGAAACACCAGCUUCAAGGAAGUGAAAAUGGUUGAACAGUGGUAAGAUACACGCUAAUAAAUCAAGCACAUUUUACA